This 471-nucleotide ribosomal RNA is filed under the name uncultured bacterium. RNAcentral's name for it is "bacterial SSU rRNA". It matches the Rfam family "Bacterial small subunit ribosomal RNA", at positions 328 to 793 of the family's 1533-position model. The record is from RNAcentral.
CGCUUUCACUCCUACGGGAGGCAGCAGUGGGGAAUAUUGCACAAUGGGCGCAAGCCUGAUGCAGCCAUGCCGCGUGUGUGAAGAAGGCCUUCGGGUUGUAAAGCACUUUCAGCAGUGAGGAGGCGGAGUCGUUAAUAGCGGCCUCGUUUGACGUUAGCUGCAGAAGAAGCACCGGCUAACUCCGUGCCAGCAGCCGCGGUAAUACGGAGGGUGCGAGCGUUAAUCGGAAUUACUGGGCGUAAAGCGCAUGCAGGUGGUUUGUUAAGUCAGAUGUGAAAGCCCGGGGCUCAACCUCGGAAUUGCAUUUGAAACUGGCAGACUAGAGUACUGUAGAGGGGGUAGAAUUUCAGGUGUAGCGGUGAAAUGCGUAGAGAUCUGAAGGAAUACCGGUGGCGAAGGCGGCCCCCUGGACAGAUACUGACACUCAGAUGCGAAAGCGUGGGGAGCAAACAGGAUUAGAUACCCUGGUAG